UGGUUAAUCCGGAAUAAUCCGU
Molecule: small nuclear RNA, 22 nt
Filed under: Arabidopsis thaliana (thale cress)
Lineage: Eukaryota; Viridiplantae; Streptophyta; Magnoliopsida; Brassicales; Brassicaceae
Description: snRNA_14370
Source: RNAcentral